This 77-nucleotide transfer RNA is filed under the name Devosia geojensis. RNAcentral describes it as "tRNA-Pro". It matches the Rfam family "tRNA". From Rfam's summary of the family: Transfer RNA (tRNA) molecules are approximately 80 nucleotides in length. Their secondary structure includes four short double-helical elements and three loops (D, anti-codon, and T loops). The record is from RNAcentral. RNAcentral also lists the same sequence under 14 other names. Lineage: Bacteria; Pseudomonadati; Pseudomonadota; Alphaproteobacteria; Hyphomicrobiales; Devosiaceae.
CGGGGUAUAGCUCAGCCUGGUAGAGCACCGGUUUUGGGAACCGGGGGUCGAGUGUUCGAAUCACUCUGCCCCGACCA